This 427-nucleotide ribosomal RNA is filed under the name uncultured bacterium. Its description in RNAcentral is "bacterial SSU rRNA". It matches the Rfam family "Bacterial small subunit ribosomal RNA", at positions 355 to 774 of the family's 1533-position model. The record is from RNAcentral.
UAGGGAAUAUUGGACAAUGGGGGCAACCCUGAUCCAGCCAUGCCGCGUGAGUGAAGAAGGCCCUCGGGUUGUAAAGCUCUUUUGUCCGGAAAGAAAAGCAUUCGGUGAAUACCCGGAUGUUCUGACGGUACCGGAAGAAUAAGCACCGGCUAACUUCGUGCCAGCAGCCGCGGUAAUACGAAGGGUGCAAGCGUUACUCGGAAUUACUGGGCGUAAAGCGUGCGUAGGUGGUUGUUUAAGUCUGAUGUGAAAGCCCUGGGCUCAACCUGGGAAUGGCAUUGGAAACUAGGCAGCUAGAGUGCGGUAGAGGGUAGUGGAAUUCCCGGUGUAGCAGUGAAAUGCGUAGAGAUCGGGAGGAACAUCUGUGGCGAAGGCGACUGCCUGGACCAGCACUGACACUGAGGCACGAAAGCGUGGGGAGCAAACA